AGCUUUUUUGCUAAAGUUCCAGGUGGAUGCCAAUAAUUGUUUUCUAAGAGGUCCAUAUUUGGCAAUUCUUGAAAUUGAAAGGCGGCGACACUUAUAUGGAAAGAGCAACUAUGAUGAUAUAAUGAAAGCUCUAAUACAAUAUUUUUUCAAGUUUGGUCACUUGGCCUGCUUCACUUCUGAUGUUGAAAUGUUUCUUCAAGUCCUAACUCCUGAUAACAAGAUGGAGUUUCUAGAGAAAGUAAUGAAAGGCACCAACUCCCUUCCAACAAUUCCAACUAAAGUUCUUGGGCUGUCAAUAACUGCAUUCAAAAUUCAGCAGUUGAUUGGAAACAUAGACAAGGUCCCUGUUGUUGAACACGAGGCCUUAGCUGGACA
RNAcentral lists this unclassified non-coding RNA (375 nucleotides) under Hevea brasiliensis (rubber tree). The record is from RNAcentral. Lineage: Eukaryota; Viridiplantae; Streptophyta; Magnoliopsida; Malpighiales; Euphorbiaceae.